Molecule: long non-coding RNA, 984 nt
Filed under: Homo sapiens (human)
Lineage: Eukaryota; Metazoa; Chordata; Mammalia; Primates; Hominidae
Description: non-protein coding lnc-FSIP2-3:1
Source: RNAcentral
UUGAACGUUAUUGAAAUAACUACAAAAGAUUUAGAAUAUUACAUAAACUUAGUUGAUAAAGCAGUGGCAGGAUUUGAGAGGAUUGACUCCAAUUUUGAAAGUUCUACUGUAGGUAAAAUGCUGUCAAACAGCAUUGCAUGCUACAGAGAAAUAUUUUGAGAGGAAGAGUCAAUAGAUUUAGCAACCACCACCCUAAUCCACAAUAUAGUCAAAAAUAAACAAAGACAGAGGAAUAUGUAAAAACUAGUUGGUAAGAGUUAAACACUAGAUAUAAUCAGGACUUGAAGAAUUACGAUUUUCAUACUCCCCUAAAUCUUAUUGUACUCUGACCUAAUGUCCAUUCACCAACUUUUAUGUGAACUAUCCCGAUUAGUAGUCAAACUGAAACCUAAAUAAUCAUUUCAACUGAAAAUCUUUGCUUCCAUCACAUUCCCUGUGAAAUGUAAAGUUUGAAACUAGUCUCAGUAUUGUGAAGAACUCUAUAAAGACUCAAAAAAUCAUGUGUUUUACUGUGUGAUACCCACAUGCAACAGUGAGGGGGUGAUGACUCAGAAAACCAAGUCCUUUGAUGGAGUAUGAACUUAUGCUUAGAUAAGAACAAUUCAGGUCAGGAUUAAAAUUCAUGUGGUAAUGAGAACUUCAGUGUUCACUUCUCCCAUUCUCAUUACAUACUGUUACCCUCCUUUCUAAAGCAUUUUCUUUACAACAUUCUUUUCCACUGGAAACAAUUUCUUUGUUGGAGCCAAAUGUCUAAUUUAUUUAAACGUUUAACACAUUACCCCAUUUUAAAGUACCUUGAGAGAGUGAGAUGUUAAAGCCUAGAAAUUGAGAGCAAAGUAGAAAAUCCAAAUUAAACAAUCUGUUUAAGCCCAGUAGAUUUAUAUAUCUUUCUUUCAAAUCUUUCUGGACUAUUUUCUUUGAAUAUAAAGCUCUUCAAACAUCCACAAAUCUUACCUUCCACUAUCUCAAUAUCUGUUAGAAAUA